RNAcentral lists this ribosomal RNA (1009 nucleotides) under uncultured bacterium. RNAcentral's name for it is "bacterial SSU rRNA". It matches the Rfam family "Bacterial small subunit ribosomal RNA", at positions 527 to 1533 of the family's 1533-position model. The record is from RNAcentral.
GAGGGGUGCAAGCGUUACUCGGAAUCACUGGGGCGUAAAGGGUGCGUAGGCUGGCUUCUAAGUCAGAUGUGAAAUUCCAAUGGCUUAACCAUUGAACUGCAUUUGAAACUGGGAGCCUAGAGUUCAGAAGGGGCAGAUGGAAUUAGUGGUGUAGGGGUAAAAUCCGUAGAUAUCACUAGGAAUAUCAAAAGCGAAGGCGAUCUGCUGGGAUGAUACUGACGCUGAGGCACGAAAGCGUGGGGAGCAAACAGGAUUAGAUACCCUGGUAGUCCACGCCCUAAACGAUGAAUGCUAGUCGUCGGGGAGCUCGUCUCUUCGGUGAUGCACUUAACAGAUUAAGCAUUCCGCCUGGGGAGUACGGUCGCAAGAUUAAAACUCAAAGGAAUAGACGGGGACCCGCACAAGUGGUGGAGCAUGUGGUUUAAUUCGAAGAUACACGAAGAACCUUACCUGGCCUUGACAUGGUAGGAACCCUUAAGAGAUUAGGGGGUGCUAGCUUGCUAGAACCUACACACAGGUGCUGCACGGCUGUCGUCAGCUCGUGUCGUGAGAUGUUGGGUUAAGUCCCGCAACGAGCGCAACCCUCGUCUUUAGUUGCUAACAGUUUGGCUGAGCACUCUAAAGAGACUGCCUUCGUAAGGAGGAGGAAGGUGAGGACGACGUCAAGUCAUCAUGGCCCUUACGGCCAGGGCUACACACGUGCUACAAUGGGGCGUACAAAGAGCUGCAAUACCGCGAGGUGGAGCCAAUCUCUUAAAGCGUCUCUCAGUUCGGAUUGUUCUCUGCAACUCGAGAACAUGAAGCUGGAAUCACUAGUAAUCGUAGAUCAGCUAUGCUACGGUGAAUACGUUCCCGGGUCUUGUACUCACCGCCCGUCACACCAUGGGAGUUGAUUUCACCCGAAAUCGGGAUGCCAAACUGGCUACCGCUUACGGUGGAAUUAGCGANCUGGGGUGAAGUCGUAACAAGGUAANCCGUAGGAGAACCUGCGGCUGGAUCACCUCCUUCU